AUUCAGGCAGUCUCUUGAAUUGGCUGGAACACCUGAUAAACUUGCACUAACAUCAGCUUCGAAGCUGCUGGACACACCAUCCUACCUGCUCCGGGCAGAAAUAGCUGUUCUUACUCGCCUGUCAAAGACAGAUACUUUCUCUUCGUCUUUGUUAGGGGAAAAUUAAAAAUGCUAAAAAAGAACACUGUAAGAAUUUACUGAAGAGCACUUAAAAUCUCCAAGCAGCCAUGGAUGUUAGACCUAAUGACAGCUGAGGGUCCAUGAUCCUGGCUAUGGGCGUGUCAGCACUGGCAUGGGAAGCACCAACGGUCAAAGUCAAUAAUGACACCUGCCUUCACUCUGGGAAGUACGUACUACUUCCCCAAGGAGUGGGGAAUGCGUAAGAAAGUCCAACACCUGGAUUAUGGAUCAAGUCACUACAUGGACACAUCAAAUGAACAAUUGGGAAUAGGACCCUCACGUGUGAUCACACAAAGAGUUGUAAGAGUACUUUAUAUUUAACAGCACCAGGGCAGCCAGUUCAGCUAACACUCGGGUGUAACAAUGAGAACUGGACUGGGUUGGUGAAAUGGGGGUGUAGAACGCACACGCCCCUACCAGUUUUUUUUCCUCAACAAGCAUUUGGAUGUAUCACGAGAUUAAUGUGACCGCCAGAUGGGCAGACCUACCUCCCUUUGGGAACCGAGUCUUGAGGGACAAUAUUGUCAAGAAACAUGUAAAUUUGUAAUAGAUAGGCAUGAUUGUUAUGAUACACAACUGUUUUAUUUUGACUAUGUGUGGCAAUCAAAGACCCACUCAAUGUCCAGAUGUAGUAAGUCCCCCCACCAAAAAUCCGGAUGGGAUAGUCAGGCUAGGAAAGUCAAAACCACUAUUACAUGAUGUAACUAUGGUCUCCCUGGAAGUGACAUAUAAUAUCUUGGGACUACUGUCAGUAUUGCUUAUGACUUGUCACAGCCACCAGAAUUCCAUAAAAUGGGCUAGAAGCCAACUGAAAAGGAUAGUCAAUGACUAUAAAUUUUGAAUCGUUCCGAGAAUUAGAGCAAAAGCACAGGUUAGGUUAAAAAGUAGUAUACUAGGAGACAUCAGAGGGCUAUUUGGGAGUGCAAAUUCCAUACUUAAUUCAGGUCAGAUCUAUGACUGAAAUGAUUAUGCCUCCUGGGUGGUUGCUGAGACUGCCCAAGGACUGCACAAUGGUGUGCGCGGGUCAGGAUAUGCCCUGACAUUCUUAGAGCUACAAGGAGAGGGUCUGCUACAGAUUCUUAGGCAGACCGCAGAUGGGAUAAUAGACACAGCUGAAUCACAAACCACAGGGAGGGCUUGUGAUAUGCUAGCACGAGACUUGAUUGAUGGGGUGAAAUCCGACAUGGAGGAUAUCAGGUUCGGAACAAUUCCUGAACACAUGUUCGAGUCAGUUUACCAAUUAAACCUCAUAAAUUUAUGCAAGGAGCGGCAGGAAUUGGUGAUUACACAACCCCAAGGUGGAGGAGAGGAUGGAGUUAUAAAAUUUAUCAUGGCCAUUCCCCAAGAACAUCAUCCAAACAGGGCUUUCCUGAACAGCUCUAGGUUCGAGUCCCGAGGAGUAGAUAAAGGGAGGAUAGUAUUCUGCGUAGGGCUACGUGGAUAUAUAUCUUAUGUAAAAGAGAUGGUACCGAUGAGUACUAGAGACUGUUGUUCAGAAUCAAGAAAUUACAUUGUGUGCUCAUGCCAAACGCUGGAGAUAUUUACAAACACAAGCAAAGUUACCUUCUCCGCUUUGCCGAUACAGGAAGCAUUUAAGGCAAUUCAGGUAUCCUCAACUCAAUGAUGCUUCAUGACCAGCGAGACUGAGUUCCUUUAUGGGGGCUUACUUUGUGCUAGCAACUCGAGUAUCUGCCUACAGGUGAUCGAUCAAUUUACUAUAAGAGACUUCCAUUUGCCAGGCAGAACCACAGGAUACUUGUUUAGCCCUUGGUGGGAUGUCACACUGUUCAUUGAUCAAAUUCCUGCCAGAAUAGCACGCUUAGCCACGCAGGAAGCCACAAGAAUAGUUCAAUCAUAAGUAGAAGCUUCUAGAGAGCAAAUCACAAGGGGGCGUGUACAAGUGGAUUUAGCCACCCAAUUGGCCAGGAGUUUAGCCUAAUCAGCUACUUCCUAUGCUACGGCCGGGAGAUUGAUGAAUUGGUGGGAAAUGCUUAGAAUGGGUAUGACGAUAGCCGCAGGAAUUAUGCUCUGAUGGGCUAUCGGACUCUGCUGUUACCAAUGUAAAAUCUGGAAAGGGACUUUCCAGGCACAGACAGUAACAAACCAAAGGUGUGCAUCAGUUCGCCGGCCUAUGCAUAUUUCAAGGGGGAGGACAGGAAAAGGGAAAGUGAUGUUAUACAACCAGGUGGUUUAGGAUUGCUCUGGCGGUCUGGACGACUGGCCACCUGAAGAACCAAAAGAGGAAUUCUCAAGUUAAGGUGUGGCCAGCUUGGGCUUUGCCAAGGGCCAAAAGGGAAGACUGUUAGGGGAAAAUUAAAAAUGCUAAAAGAGAACACUAUAAGAAUUUACCGGAGAGCACUUAAAAGCUCCAGGCAGCCAUGGAUGUUAGACCUAAUGACAGCUGAGGGUAAGCAAAUGAACAUUGCACACAAAGGAGCUUUGAGUUUUGUGUGAUUUACACAGUUUCAAGAGAUGAGCUAAUGUCCAGCCACAGGCAGAACCAUUCCAGUGGUACAACGAUGCGAUGAAGCCUUGAGAGCUGGACUGGAGAUAAAACAUAACAUAAAGUUAGUUUAGGUAUACUCGUCUCUCAGAUAGCGACAGGGCAGAUGCUUUUAGCUUAGAUAUGGGAAAACGUACAAUGGACAGAGGGGUCUUUGAUGAAACAACAGCAAUCUUGAGUUGUGAGAACCAAGGUCUUGCGUACGUGUUUUAAUUUUGAUUGGAUAAUAUAAUUAUGUAUACACCCUUUAGAAUAAUUGGUUAGCAAAAACACAUGUUUAUGUACUCAAUAGGAUAGUUUUAAAAUGGUACCUAUGUGUAGGUUACCGAUUGGUUAUAUACAAAUGAAUUAUGAUAAGAAAAUGUACAAAAGUAGUGAAAUGUAAUCAAUCUGGUAGCUGGGUUUUCAUUCUUAGGAAUGAUUGCAGCUCCCUUGCAUAUGCUUGAAUAAAACCAGUAAAGGAA
Long non-coding RNA from Carcharodon carcharias (great white shark), 3147 nucleotides. RefSeq lists it as uncharacterized. The transcript is spliced from 2 exons. The record is from RefSeq and is a predicted model, not a curated record. Lineage: Eukaryota; Metazoa; Chordata; Chondrichthyes; Lamniformes; Lamnidae.